This 1795-nucleotide long non-coding RNA is filed under the name Homo sapiens (human). RNAcentral describes it as "non-protein coding lnc-SNX19-6:1". The record is from RNAcentral. Lineage: Eukaryota; Metazoa; Chordata; Mammalia; Primates; Hominidae.
UGCAUGAACAAAAUGAAAACUUCACCAAAGAGAAAUAAUAGAAAAGAACUAAACAGAAAUUCUGGAGCUCAGCAAUACAAUGAAUGAAAUGAAAAAUGUGAUAGAGAGCCUCAACAGCAGACUUAAGCAGAAGAACUAAUCUGCAAACUCAAAAUUAAGAAGGUGCUGUCACUCCCAGUUGCCAAGUCAAGCCCCGUCGAAGGAAAAGCAUGCAUAGAACCAAGCACAGCCAAAAUUUCUUUCCCAGGAUCAGCACCUCCUUCUGAGGCUGCAGACAAAGACUGUCAAGGGACCCCAUUACUCCCUGUUGAAGUCUCAGAGCUCAUGGGUGUAGCUUCUUUGGUGUCAGGGGCUCUGGAUGCUAAGCCAGUAGAGAAUCCUGAAGAUCCUAGCCAACGGAUUAAUAAAAACUGGAAGAAGGCAAUUGUGACAUGGCAGGAACAAACUGAGAGAAUAUUUAUAUUUUGAAGUAGAUGGAUCCAAACAAAGAAAUGUGAAUAAGAUCAAGGAGUUUGGCUAGGGGUCUGAGAGACACUGUCAGACCAACCUGCAUUUGAAAUGGGCCAGUGUCUGAGUCAUGACAACAUAAAGGUAAAGGUGCCCUGAAUGUGCCCCUAGUCCCUGGGUCUGCUCUCGUCACCUCUUGUCACUUCAGGAAGCAACAGCCAGGAGUGAAACAUGUAACCUGAGGUGGGAGGAAGGAAUUUUUCAGAAGCUCUUCCUGGACAAGGUGAGUCCUCAUGAACUGAUCCUGACCCCUAUGAACCCAUACCCUAUGAGCUCAACCUCCUAGAUGAGGAGCGUUCCACGAAUAAGACCCAUAUGUUAAGAUCCUGGAGCCUGAGGGAUCAGGUGGCCUGAUGGGGCAGACAGUUCUAAGUUGCCUCCUGUUUUGGCCAAUCUUCUGGGAAGCAUAGGUACCUGGAAGGGUUUAUUGAGAUCUGAAGAAGAAGGCAUCAAUGUCCAGGAGAGCCUUACUUUCAUCAUGGGUAGCCCAAACAGUCAGCCCUCAAAAUAACUUCUAAAACAACCAGACUAUUCAGAUAAGAUGACUGAUUGCUCUUGCCACCUAACCUCUGAGGUCCUGGUUGAAUAGUCCGUCGUUUCCUACCAGGAGGCCCUGGGAGGUCCAAAGACAUUUUCCCCCUGGCACUGGCGACCUAUACCUGGUUUCUAUGGAGGCUCUGGAGACCCUGAUGGGCAGUUGAUCCACAUCUUCUGGGUCCCCCAAUCCCUCCAGUGAAAGAUGACCCCUUCUGGGAUAGCCCAGGUGACCCCAUGCAGGGUGGCCUAAUAUUGAGGGGAGAGUCAAGAACCAAUUCCUGGAUCAUACCAUAAAGCCUGUGGUGGCCAAAAAGAAAAUGAACCUUUCCCACCUCCUCCACUCUGAGGGGCCAGAGGAAGUCUCUCUGGAGUAGGACCCCUAAAUGGAUGAAGAAAUUCUGGUGGGAUCAUUGUUAGAGUUGGUGGGCAUCAUCACCAAUAAGCAUCUCUUUCAUGAAAGUACUGGUGGUGGCAUAAGUGGGGGCAGUGAAGAUUUUUCAUGAAGGUCCUGGACAUGGGGGAUGCUGUGACCCCAAGCCUCAUGAUGUCCCUGGUCACUGAGGCCAUGACCAUCAAGGUCUGCCCUCUCGUGAGCACUCUGGCCAUGAUGGCCCUGGGCCACUGAGGUCAAGAUGGAAGCUACAGCCAUGAAGGAGACAGAUCAACCUGCUCUGUUUGCUGACAUUUGAUGAUAAAGGGCAAUGCCACUAUGAGAACAAUUACGUCUUUUACCACCUGAGUGUCAAAGUCC